GCUGGCUUGGUGUAACGUAUUGGUAGCAUACCUGUCGGGGUAAACUUCUCCACGAGCCCGGGGGAGAUCCAGGUUCGAAUCCUGGAGUCGGCA
This is a non-coding RNA of Aspergillus nanangensis, 93 nucleotides long. Lineage: Eukaryota; Fungi; Ascomycota; Eurotiomycetes; Eurotiales; Aspergillaceae. The record is from the annotation of a GenBank genome assembly.